GGGUUAGGUAAAUGUUUCAUGAUAAUGGGUUAGGUAAAUGUUCCAUGAUAAUGGGUUAGGUAAAUGUUCCAUGAUUGGAAUUUCAUGUCUUUUGUAUUAAAGAAUUAAAUGGAUGAAAUAUGAAAUUUUAUUAAAAGAAAAAGGGGUGAAAAGAACAAAGUUUUGUCCAUCUUUGUUCAUCAUAGCCUAAAGUUAGAGAAGAGAAAGGAGAGGAGAAAGCUCUUGAAUGUUCGGUCACUUGGGGAAGAAAAUUGAAGGCGGUUCGUGUGUGGAUCUCGUCAGCAUAUCGUCGCAAACAGAUGUGUAACUAACACCCUCUUUCUUAGUCUAGAUUGGCAAAAGUCGAAAAGCCGAAAUGUCGAAAACCGGUAUUUUGUAGAUUUGCAAGUGUACGAAUGCUCGUGAGGUAAAUCGAUUAAUGUUUUUGGUAAGCUGCAAAAUUUGGACUGCAAAGUGCAUGAUUUCUGUGCCCUCGAUAUUUUUGGGCUUAGUGGGCCAAAAUUGGAAUGAUGGGCCAACGAGCCCAAUUCGGUAAGAACCCUCCAUAGUGAUUCUGUUAGUACGUGAAAGGUAGGAAUAUGCAUGAAAAACCCUAAAAUAGAUAAAUUACUGAAAUACCUUUAAAAGUGGAAAAUUUACAGUUUUACCCCUAGUAGAUAAAUUACCGAAAUACCUCUAGGGUUAAAUUGACCUAAAUGCAUGUUUGACUGUUGUUAUUUACUGCAUGCCAUGUUGUUAUUAUCUGAUGCAUGGGAUUGGGAUAUUGACGGAGGAA
This is a long non-coding RNA of Gossypium arboreum, 775 nucleotides long. RefSeq lists it as uncharacterized. The transcript has 2 exons. NCBI's taxonomy places the organism in Eukaryota, Viridiplantae, Streptophyta, Magnoliopsida, Malvales, Malvaceae. The record is from RefSeq and is a predicted model, not a curated record.